This 216-nucleotide long non-coding RNA is filed under the name Capsella grandiflora. Its description in RNAcentral is "long non-coding RNA (CGRA_LNC001712)". Lineage: Eukaryota; Viridiplantae; Streptophyta; Magnoliopsida; Brassicales; Brassicaceae. The record is from RNAcentral.
GAACCCUAAAUCGAUGGCUACCCUUUUCAACUCUCGCCGGAAUUUGGAUUCCCAUCUCCUUGUUUUCGCUUCCUCUGCUUCUCCGUCUCCGUAGUAAAACUGCAGGUUACAAGGUUUUUAGGUACCCUAACUCCACCAACACACAAGACGUGUUCUCGGAGUUCUCCACGUGAAAGGUCUCUCUUACAAUCCCAUCACCGUCGAGUACAAAGCCAC